This 25-nucleotide non-coding RNA is filed under the name Callithrix jacchus (white-tufted-ear marmoset). Lineage: Eukaryota; Metazoa; Chordata; Mammalia; Primates; Cebidae. The record is from RNAcentral. RNAcentral also lists the same sequence under 2 other names.
UGGUAUUGCAGUACUUCCAGGAACG